UACCGCCUACGGGACGCAGCAGUCGAGAAUCAUUCACAAUGGGGGAAACCCUGAUGGUGCGACGCCGCGUGGGGGAAUGAAGGUCUUCGGAUUGUAAACCCCUGUCAUGUGGGAGCAAAUUAAAAAGAUAGUACCACAAGAGGAAGAGACGGCUAACUCUGUGCCAGCAGCCGCGGUAAUACAGAGGUCUCAAGCGUUGUUCGGAAUCACUAGGCGUAAAGCGUGCGUAGGCUGUUUCGUAAGUCGUGUGUGAAAGGCGCGGGCUCAACUCGCGGACGGCACAUGAUACUGCGAGACCAGAGUCA
RNAcentral lists this ribosomal RNA (305 nucleotides) under uncultured bacterium. RNAcentral describes it as "bacterial SSU rRNA". It matches the Rfam family "Bacterial small subunit ribosomal RNA", at positions 333 to 649 of the family's 1533-position model. The record is from RNAcentral.